UGAUAAAUAUUUUUGUGGCUGUUGUAGGAUUUCAUCAUCUGCAUCGAAAUGUUCCUUGUGGCCAUUGCCCAUGUACAUUGCCAUGUAUUCUCCUACAAACCCUACGUGCAAGAGGCAGAGGAAGGCUCUUGCUUUGGCUGUUUCCUGGCCAUGUGGCAUGUGUCAGAUGUCAGAGAUGAUUAUUUCUCAACAAGUAAGAUGCCUGGGUGGGUCGCCCCCGUUGACACCCCGCUGGCCGGGGCAUCAGGCCUUUGGACACUCGAUUACUUUACAGAAUGCAGCCGCUGCAUCCAAGUCAUGUGAAGACAUUGUCACUGAUAUCCCAGAAGAACAGGAACCUCCUGAUACAGGCCAACAUCAAGACUUAGAAGACACAGAUACUUCACAGGAUGCACUUUCUGAGGCCAAGCUGUGUGAAGAUGUAAUGAUUAAUAUCCCAGAAGAGCAGAAGGAGCCCCCUAAUAAAUUUAUAUAUUAUCUUAAAGGGAGAACAAUGAAAUGUUAUCCAGAAAAAAAAAAAAAAAAAAAAGUUUUCCUGAAGACUCGGAACAUUCUGAACACACAAGUUGGCUUUCCUGAUCAUCACAAGAUGUAGUAUCUGCAGGUUCAAAGCCAUCCUCACUUGCCCCAGGACUAGGAUGCAGCCCAUACCUGCGAGGAGCCUCAACCACAGCGCGACCCGAGGACGCAGCGCCAGCAGCUGGUCAUUUUUCUCUGUAGAGAGCCAGAAGAGAAAACAAUCAAAGAAGAGAAAGUGCCAAAAUCUCGGUUUGGUUUGUUUUCUUGGCUUUCGUAAGCUAAUUUGUUUAUGAAAAUGCCCAGCGUGUGUAAUCUGAGCAACUGGAGGCGAUGGAUCCGACCCCUGGUCAUACUUACUUAUGUAGUAGCUUGCUGAUCUUUGUUACCUUGUGUGUUUGGAAGUUUGACCAAAAAGAAAAAGGGUAUGUGAGACGGUUGGUGUCUACGAUGAAGGGAAAUUUGGUUUCUCCAGUGCAAGGACUUACUUGGUUAUAAGAAAUUAUUUGUCACAACUAGUAAGUAAAUCUUCAUUCUUCUUAAUUGUACUAAAUUUGUUUCUGUUGCUAAAUAUUAUCAGAUACUAUUUCUUGAGAAAAAAAUUACCUUUUACUUUGUACAUGGAACUUGAAACAGCUUUAAUGUAUACCUUUAUACAAUAUAGAAGUACAGUAAUAUGUUCAUGAAUGAUUUGGUGACUUACAUGCAGAGCUGUUUGCUCUUGUGACCACACAGCCUUGUGGGGAUAAGCAUGGUGUGCCUUCUAAACAAACAAAACAUAAUGCAAUCGGCCGA
Molecule: long non-coding RNA, 1311 nt
Organism: Peromyscus eremicus (cactus mouse)
Lineage: Eukaryota; Metazoa; Chordata; Mammalia; Rodentia; Cricetidae
Exons: 3
Source: RefSeq, a predicted model, not a curated record